RNAcentral lists this small RNA (216 nucleotides) under Cercocebus atys (sooty mangabey). Its description in RNAcentral is "Metazoan signal recognition particle RNA". It matches the Rfam family "Metazoan signal recognition particle RNA", at positions 61 to 283 of the family's 299-position model. From Rfam's summary of the family: The signal recognition particle (SRP) is a universally conserved ribonucleoprotein. It is involved in the co-translational targeting of proteins to membranes. The record is from Rfam by way of RNAcentral. Lineage: Eukaryota; Metazoa; Chordata; Mammalia; Primates; Cercopithecidae. RNAcentral also lists the same sequence under 2 other names.
CUUGAGACUAGGAGGGCUGCAGUGUGCUAAACCAGUCAGAUGUCUGCACUAAGUUCAGAAUCAACAUGGUGACUUCCUGAGGGCAGGGGACAACCAGGUUACCUUGGUAGAGGUGAACAGGCCCAGGUUGGAAAGAAAGUAGGUCAAAACUUUCAUGCCGAUGAGUGGUGCAAUCGUGCCUGUGAACAGCCAUUGCACUCAGCUUGGGCAACAUAG